GAUAAACGCUGGCGGCGUGCCUAAUACAUGCAAGUUGAGCGGCAAGGUUCUGCACCCACUAUUUGACCAGAUGAGUCUUUCGCAAGAGAGAUACUAUCUGCAGCGAUAAUCUCUGGCUGAGAUUAUAGUCGAAUGAUGAGUGUAGAAUACACGAGCGGCGGACGGCAGAGUAACGCGUAGGAACGUACCCCAAACAGAGGCANAAGCACCGGAAACGGUGUCUAAUACCGCAUAAUAUCUUCGGAUUAAAGCUUCGGCGGUUUGGGAGCGGCCUGCGUAUGAUUAGCUAGUUGGUGAGGUAAUAGCUCACCAAGGCGACGAUCAUUAGCUGGUCUGAGAGGAUGAUCAGCCAC
RNAcentral lists this ribosomal RNA (353 nucleotides) under uncultured bacterium. Its description in RNAcentral is "bacterial SSU rRNA". It matches the Rfam family "Bacterial small subunit ribosomal RNA", at positions 28 to 313 of the family's 1533-position model. The record is from RNAcentral.